AGGCUUAACACAUGCAAGUCGAGGGGUUUCGAGGGGGCUUGCUCCCGCGAGACGACCGGCGCACGGGUGAGUAACGCGUAUCCAACCUGCCCUUCAUAUUGGGAUAGCCUCUCGAAAGGGAGAUUAAUACCGAAUAACAUAGUUUAGUUGCCUGACCAGACUAUGAAAGCUCCGGCGAUGAAGGAUGGGGAUGCGUUCCAUUAGGUAGUAGGCGGGGUAACGGCCCACCUAGCCAACGAUGGAUAGGGGUUCUGAGAGGAAGGUCCCCCACACUGGAACUGAGACACGGUCCAGACUCCUACGGGAGGCAGCAGUGAGGAAUAUUGGUCAAUGGUCGGAAGACUGAACCAGCCAAGUAGCGUGAAGGAUGAAGGUUCUAUGGAUUGUAAACUUCUUUUAUACGGGAAUAAAACCUCCCACGUGUGGGAGCUUGUAUGUACCGUAUGAAUAAGCAUCGGCUAACUCCGUGCCAGCAGCCGCGGUAAUACGGAGGAUGCGAGCGUUAUCCGGAUUUAUUGGGUUUAAAGGGAGCGUAGACGGGAUGUUAAGUCAGUUGUGAAAGGCUGCGGCUUAACCGCAGCACUGCAGUUGAUACUGGCGUCCUUGAGUGCGGUUGAGGUAUGUGGAAUUCGUGGUGUAGCGGUGAAAUGCUUAGAUAUCACGAAGAACUCCGAUUG
This 677-nucleotide ribosomal RNA is filed under the name uncultured Bacteroidota bacterium. RNAcentral describes it as "bacterial SSU rRNA". It matches the Rfam family "Bacterial small subunit ribosomal RNA", at positions 44 to 715 of the family's 1533-position model. Lineage: Bacteria; Pseudomonadati; Bacteroidota. The record is from RNAcentral.